CCCUUAGAUGUUCUGGGCUGCACGCGCGCUACACUGAAGCGUUCAACGAGUAUUCACCUUGCCCGGGAGGGUUGGGUAAUCUUUUGAAAACGCUUCGUGAUGGGGAUAGAUUAUUGCAAUUAUUAAUCUUCAACGAGGAAUUCCUAGUAAGCGCGAGUCAUCAGCUCGUGCUGAUUACGUCCCUGCCCUUUGUACACACCGCCCGUCGCUCCUAGCGAUUGAGUGAUCCGGUGAAUAAUUCGGACUGCAGCACUGCUUGGUCUCCAGGCUUUGCAGCGGAAAGUUUAGUGAACCUUAUCACUUAGAGGAAGGAGAAGUCGUAACA
RNAcentral lists this ribosomal RNA (325 nucleotides) under uncultured eukaryote. RNAcentral describes it as "partial 18S ribosomal RNA". It matches the Rfam family "Eukaryotic small subunit ribosomal RNA", at positions 1470 to 1796 of the family's 1831-position model. The record is from RNAcentral.